ACAGAGAGCAAAUUAGAAUGCAUGGAAGUUGACAUGUCGUCACUUAAUUUUUUUGCGCCGCGCAUAAAUCUGAGAAGCGUGAGUUUGUCACAAUUGUUUAUCUAGACAUAGGAUUGGUUGUGUGAAAAUAUUACUGAUGUUUAACGUUAAAAAUGGACCAAAAGAUGAAUGAUAAACAACGUUUGACAUGUUUGAACGAACGUAAAUAGAUUAUUUACUAGGUUUUUUUAGCUUUUCGGCGUGAUUUUACACCCCCCCCCCACCACGUUUUGUGGGACAAUAAUGAACGCAAACUACUUGGUGUUAUUUGGACAUAAAUUAUGAACUUUGUCAAAAGAAACCACAUUUGUUCUGGACCUGCAGUGCCUUCUGAUGGAGAUAAUCAAAGAUUUAAUUUAGAGACAGGUGGAUGCACUUGCAUCGCUGGCCUUGGAAAGUCAUGCAGCCUCAAUUUUGUGGCAGUGCCUCAGCGUUCCAGGCCAUGCAGUACCUGCCUCACCAGCAGCAGGGCUACACUGUACACUGCCACUGACUUCUCAGACAGCUCCUCCUGGCAGACAGGGACAGAGAGAGGGACAGGGACAGAGAGCGGGACAGGGACUCAGGAGGGCGGUAUGGUGCCGGUGGGAUCGUCUCUAGAAGGUAAUCUUGGGAGGAGGCGAACUCUUCCUCCAAGUAUUCCCACCCUUCACACCACUCAGAGCGAGAGAGAGGGGAGAGGGGCUACAAAUGGGAUACCGUGGGCUACAGAGACCACGGCAGACUACGUAACUCACACAACCACCGCAGCAGCAGUCGGAGGCGGAGCAGCAGCCACAAUCGGGACAUCAGCGACAGGGAGAGAGACAGCAACUGCUCCAACAGCUCUGACCCUAGAUUCAACUCCAACUCCCACCAUUCCUCCAACAGCCUGUCCCCGCCUCUGUCCUCCUCCUACCCCUCCUAGUCCUCCUUUUCCUCUAAAGACCUGCCCUCUCACUCUCCCCAUGAUCCCUCCGUCUCCUCUCGCCUAGAGCCCUACUCAGUGUACCAUGCCCAGACCAGUUGGGCUGGUUCUGGGGAGAGGGGCUCUGGUUCUGAUAACAAGGACCCCCCAUCCCAACACAACCCUCUGCUUCCCCUGUGGAGAGGGGAGGAAGAAUCGCACUGUAGUUGCACCAGCCACUCCCUCCUCCUCCACCUUGCCUCCACACGUCCCUACUACAGACGACCAGACUAGUCUCCAUGGAACAUGCCAACCUGGGCCUAAUGAUCCAAGGACUAGACAGGGGGCACACACACACCUGUACAGAGUCAGUCAUCCCUUCAUUCCUCUGUGGAAGACAUUGAGAUCUCAGACGAGGAUGAGGAACACACCAUUACAGCAUUGACCAACCAUCACGCCUCCUCCCCCUCUUCAUCCCAGGCCCUCUCACACAUUCACUAAAACAUAAGCACAACACAUACACACACAACUACACUCACACACACACAUUCACGCUACACACGCCAUGACUGCCACUAUUGGACUUACAUUGUUACUGCACAACUAUUGCACAAUUCAACACUUUAAGCUCUCCAUAACCCCCUGGCACGUGUAAAUACCCUACUGUAAAUGUGUUUGAUUAAAGUUGAAUCAGGUUAGUUAUAACUGGGGUUGGAUUGAAAACUUAAAGGACAGUAGCUCUCCUGGAACAGUGUUGGAGAGCCCUGGUGUACACCAUGUGUAUCUAGGGCUGGACGAUAUGGCCUAAAUAUAAUAUCACUGUAUUUUUCAAUUUCUUUACGGUAUUUGAUGUUUCUUAAUAAUGAAAGUUCUGAAUAUGCUUUAUGGGUAGUGCAUGGCCCUAUAACGAAGUAUUGAUUUCAUAUGCAUGGUGCAGCAACGUAGCCAGUAACCAGACCAGUAACAUAAUUGAACUCAAAAUAUGCUAUUCUAUUUAUUUUAAAAAAAUACAUUUUAUUAGUCUUAUAAUAUUUCUUAGGACCUGCCUAAACAAACCAAUAAUGGAUUUCUUUGUGAUGGUGUGUAUUCAAUGGAUUUAUUCAAAUAGACGCCCGCCCAUAUCGACGCAUCCCUACUCCUCUUCACCGGUGCCAGCAUGCACAAGGAAGGUAUAAAAGGCUUAUGCCAGCAAGAAUGUGGUAAAAAUUGGCCUUUUUUAAAAAGGGGUCAUAUAAACAUUGCCCCACUUGCUUUUUACAGGCAACAUACCGUAAAUCCUAUGUUAAAAUUGUAUUAUCUUCCCUGAUGUCUUGGAGAACCAUGUGUAUCUGAGGAGAAGGGGGAGUAAUAUGCUUAGCCCCCAGCUAGAUAGAAGAUAAGUUAAUAAUGACUGAAAAGGAAAUUUUUUAUCAAAAUGCGUUUUUUGGCAGAAAUGCCUUCUCUAACAUGUGAACUUUUAUGUGCCUUCAUUACAAACUUGUAUACCAUCUGUAAAUAUGAA
Molecule: long non-coding RNA, 2426 nt
Filed under: Salmo salar (Atlantic salmon)
Lineage: Eukaryota; Metazoa; Chordata; Actinopteri; Salmoniformes; Salmonidae
Description: lncRNA (ENSSSAG00000084031.1)
Source: RNAcentral